This 467-nucleotide ribosomal RNA is filed under the name uncultured bacterium. Its description in RNAcentral is "partial 16S ribosomal RNA". It matches the Rfam family "Bacterial small subunit ribosomal RNA", at positions 28 to 506 of the family's 1533-position model. The record is from RNAcentral.
GACGAACGCUGGCGGCGUGCUUAACACAUGCAAGUCGAACGGAAAGGCCCUGCUUUUGUGGGGUGCUCGAGUGGCGAACGGGUGAGUAACACGUGAGUAACCUGCCCUUGACUUUGGGAUAACUUCAGGAAACUGGGGCUAAUACCGGAUAGGAGCUCCUGCUGCAUGGUGGGGGUUGGAAAGUUUCGGCGGUUGGGGAUGGACUCGCGGCUUAUCAGCUUGUUGGUGGGGUAGUGGCUUACCAAGGCUUUGACGGGUAGCCGGCCUGAGAGGGUGACCGGCCACAUUGGGACUGAGAUACGGCCCAGACUCCUACGGGAGGCAGCAGUGGGGAAUAUUGCACAAUGGGCGGAAGCCUGAUGCAGCAACGCCGCGUGCGGGAGGACGGCCUUCGGGUGGUAAACCGCUUUCGCCUGUGACGAAGCGUGAGUGACGGUAAUGGGGAAAGAAGCACCGGCUAACUACGU